Molecule: ribosomal RNA, 497 nt
Filed under: uncultured bacterium
Lineage: Bacteria
Description: partial 16S ribosomal RNA
Rfam family: Bacterial small subunit ribosomal RNA
Source: RNAcentral
GAUGAACGCUGGCGGCGUGCCUAAUACAUGCAAGUCGAGCGAACGGACGAUAAGCUUGCUUCUCUGAUGUUAGCGGCGGACGGGUGAGUAACACGUGGAUCACCUACCUAUAAUACUGGGAUAACUUCGGGAAACCGUAGCUGAUACCAGAUAAUAUUUUGAACCGCAUGAUUCAGAAGUGAAUGACGGUCUUGCUGUCUCUUAUAGAUGGAUCCGCGCUGCAUUAGCUAGUUGGUAAGGUAACGGCUUACCAAGGCAACGAUGCAUAGCCGAUCUGAGAGGAUGAUCAGCCACACUGGAACUGAGACACGGUCCAGACUCCUACGGGAGGCAGCAGUAGGGAAUAUUCGGCAAAGGGCGAAAGCCUGAUGGAGCAACGCCGCGUGAGUGAUGAAGGUCUUCGGAUCGUAAAACUCUGUUAUUAGGGAAGAACAGAUGUGUAAGUAACUGUGGACAUCUUGACGGUACCUAAUGAGAAAGCCACGGCUAACUUCGUG